GCAACGAUGGUCUAGUGGUCAAGAUACCUCGCCUCCAACACUUGUGACGACAAGGUCCGACCAGGCCACGUAUGUCCUCAAGUCUAGGACUGUGAGGUGGUGAAGAGUGUCGAGGAGAUCGUGAGUUCGAAUCUCACUCGUUGCA
Molecule: transfer RNA, 145 nt
Filed under: Aureobasidium pullulans
Lineage: Eukaryota; Fungi; Ascomycota; Dothideomycetes; Dothideales; Saccotheciaceae
Also listed under: 1 other name
Description: tRNA-Gly
Rfam family: tRNA
About the family: Transfer RNA (tRNA) molecules are approximately 80 nucleotides in length. Their secondary structure includes four short double-helical elements and three loops (D, anti-codon, and T loops).
Source: RNAcentral